AUGAAGGCCGUGGCGCACACGUCGAAUUCCGACCGACAGUACCUUUUAGGGAGGAUGCCGUCUUUGGUCCCUAUUUUGUAUAACUCGUGUUCGUUUUUGUCGAGAAUUACGCCGAUUAUGUUUCUUAAACAAGCACGAGGCUUGUCCACGUCUGGUAUAGGUAUUGUCGCUUCAAUUGUUCCGUAUACUUCCUCCAAUGGAACAAAAUACACAAUGUCAUCGGUUCCCGUUGCUUUCACCAACUUUUCUAUACCCCCGAUUUCAAUAACAUUAAACCGCCUAACACGUCUCUUCUGUUGGGGGUUUUAUUCCGAGCACUUCUCGCGGCUUUCACUUCAUUUAUCAGAUCACUGUACUGUUCUCUGGGAAUAACAUGCAAUUGGUUUUUUUCACUAUCUUCAUUUAUAAAACUACGUAAAAAAAGUUCAAAAUUAACGUUCGCGGUAGCCAUGAUUACUCCGUUGCACAAAAACAAAACACUGAUCACUGUCCUCCGUGGACGCCGCGUUCCGCGAAGCGUGUUUGGUGCGCUACCGUUCGCACCUAAUCCACAAGAAUUUGUCUUCCCUGUCAUCUAAUUGGAAUGUCCACUGAUAACGCCGCCGAAUUGUGCUUCCCUUGUUGCCAAGUAAGCGGUGAAAAAGUUUUCCGGUAAAGUCACUUUAGCGGUAGAAAAAGUUUUCCGGUAAGGCCACUUUAGCGGUAGAAAAGUUUUCCGGUAAAGUCACUUUAGCGGUAGAAAAGUUUUCCGGUAAAGUCACUUUAGCGGUAGAAAAAGUUUUCCGGUAAGGCCACUUUAGCGGUAGAAAAGUUUUCCGGUAAAGUCACUUUAGCGGUAGAAAAAGUUUUCCGGUAAAGUCACUUUAGCGGUAGAAAAAGUUUUCCGGUAAAGUCACUUUAGCGGUAGAAAUCAGAAACGGGGUUUGCCAAAAAAAUCGUUUGGCAAACCUAGUUUGCCUAAAAUCACUUUUGGCAAACCUAGGUCUGCCUAAAAUUUUCAGGCAAUCCUAGGUUUGCCAAACGAGGUGCUUGGCAGACCUAGGUCUACCUAGGCAGACCUAGGUUUGCCUAGGCAGACCUAGGUCUGCCUG
This 1091-nucleotide long non-coding RNA is filed under the name Bemisia tabaci. RNAcentral's name for it is "lncRNA ENSSSA3NGG004078". Lineage: Eukaryota; Metazoa; Arthropoda; Insecta; Hemiptera; Aleyrodidae. The record is from RNAcentral.